AUACGUAGGGGGCGAGCGUUGUCCGGAAUGAUUGGGCGUAAAGGGCGCGUAGGCGGCCCGGUAAGUCUGGAGUGAAAGUCCUGUUUUUAAGAUGGGAAUUGCUUUGGAUACUGUCGGGCUUGAGUGCAGGGGAGGUAAGUGGAAUUCCCAGUGUAGCGGUGAAAUGCGUAGAGAUUGGGAGGAACACCAGUGGCGAAGGCGACGUACUGGACUGUAACUGACGCUGAGGCGCGAAAGUGUGGGGAGCAAACAGGAUUAGAUACCCUGGUAGUCCACACUGUAAACGAUGAAUGCUAGGUGUAGGGGGUAUCGACCCCUUCUGUGCCGCAGUCAACACAAUAAGCAUUCCGCCUGGGGAGUACGGCCGCAAGGUUGAAACUCAAAUGAAUUGACGGGG
This 397-nucleotide ribosomal RNA is filed under the name uncultured bacterium. RNAcentral describes it as "partial 16S ribosomal RNA". It matches the Rfam family "Bacterial small subunit ribosomal RNA", at positions 523 to 918 of the family's 1533-position model. The record is from RNAcentral.